Molecule: ribosomal RNA, 496 nt
Filed under: uncultured bacterium
Lineage: Bacteria
Description: partial 16S ribosomal RNA
Rfam family: Bacterial small subunit ribosomal RNA
Source: RNAcentral
AUGAACGCUGGCGGCGUGCCUAAUCCCUGCAAGUCGCGCGAACGGACGAGAAGCUUGCUUCUCUGAUGUUAGCGGCGGACGGGUGAGUAACACGUGGAUAACCUACCUAUAAGACUGGGAUAACUUCGGGAAACCGGAGCUAAUACCGGAUGAUAUUUUGAACCGCAUGGUUCAAAAGUGAAAGACGGUCUUGCUGUCACUUAUAGAUGGAUCCGCGCUGCAUUAGCUAGUUGGUAAGGUAACGGCUUACCAAGGCAACGAUGCAUAGCCGACCUGAGAGGGUGAUCGGCCACACUGGAACUGAGACACGGUCCAGACUCCUACGGGAGGCAGCAGUAGGGAAUCUUCCGCAAUGGGCGAAAGCCUGACGGAGCAACGCCGCGUGAGUGAUGAAGGUCUUCGGAUCGUAAAACUCUGUUAUUAGGGAAGAACAUAUGUGUAAGUAACUGUGCACAUCUUGACGGUACCUAAUCAGAAAGCCACGGCUGACUACGUG